This is a long non-coding RNA of Brassica napus (rape), 4006 nucleotides long. RefSeq lists it as uncharacterized. NCBI's taxonomy places the organism in Eukaryota, Viridiplantae, Streptophyta, Magnoliopsida, Brassicales, Brassicaceae. The transcript has 2 exons. The record is from RefSeq and is a predicted model, not a curated record.
CAUCUAUAUAAAGGAAUAACAUUAGUCUACAAUUUUUGUAAAAGAAAACUUUGAAAUUGAUCUACCGGCAAAACAAUGGUUCGAAAUGUGUCUUCUCUGCUAACAUAAACCGAAACUUUAGAUAUCAAAUGUUACUUUAUUAUGGGCUGCUAAUGGGCUAAUGAUAGGCCAACCAUGUUAUUUCAAAUUAUAAUGUCCUCCUCCGCAGAUCUUCUAAAAUACGUAAAGCUUUGCAGAUGGACGGCUGAAAAUAAUGGCGUUUUAUAAGACUCGUUAAUUGUUUACACGGUUUCACAACAAAAUCUGAUAGAUAUCAAACCACUAACGCCAGUGUUUCAAAAAAAAAAAUCAAACCACUAACGCCAAUAACUAUUUAUUUAAAAAUAAUGAAUACUAGUAUUGUUCCUGUGCUGCGCACAUGUAUAUUUUUGCUAACAAAUAAGACUAAAAGUCUCAUUUAUAUACAACUAUAACUACAUUUAUAAAAUUUUGAUGAAUAUACAUAAACAAAUCAUUAAACUUAUCAGUUCUAUGAUUAACCACAACAUAUAAAAUGAAGUUAGAUUGGUUUUAAAAAAUUACCUUGAUCUUAAUUAAUUCACUAAAUACAAAUAUUAGUUUUAUACUUUUGUCUUACUUCUUUAUGUCUUGUUCUUCAUGUAUUUUUCCUAAUUCUAAACUUGCAAUCUAUGGCUAAUUUCUCUUAUUACAUUCAUAGUCACUAUACCUUCUGUAGUAUUUCAAUGGUGUUUUCAAUUUACAUUUUGUUGUUAAAACUAUUUUAUAGUAGGAAAACAAUUAGAACAGAAGCAUUUUUACCUUUAAUCAGAAUUUGUUCCUCAUAUCCUACCAUGUCGCGUGUUCUAUCAUUAUCUUUUCUCCUUUUUAGCUGGAUCUUAUUUUGAAUCUUUUUAUUGUGGUUGAAUUACUCUCCAUUAAUUCAGAGCCAUCAUAUGCACUAUUUCUUGAUAGAAUCACUCGAGAAUACAGUCUAAUGGAACUCGACACUAACUCUUAACAUUAUAUACAGUCCCAAGUUUGUAUUAUGGUAUUGAAAAUUAGAAAAGGAGUGUAGUUUUUUCCUAAUCUAUUUUCUAUUGAUAGAUUUUGUUUUCAUUUGUUUUACUGAUUUUUAGAAAUAUAUAGGAACAUGGAAAAAAGCUUGUGGAGGAAGAGGGAAGAUUGGAGGUACUGGGAUACGUGCGAUAGAGUUUUUUUUGUUGCAUUAUUCCUUUUUAAUUAAUUUUGUAAAUGUGGAUUACGUGACAGAAUUUGAUUGGUGAAGCGACUUGCGCUUUAGUAUAUAAAGGAUUUAGAGCAUUUCUUUAGAAAAAUUAUUAAAUUUUUAUCUUCCUUACUUUUGCAUGCUACACAUACUUGCAUUACAGCUUUUCACUACCAGAUCAACUAAAGUAUUGUUAUGGGGCCAAAACUAAAACUAACGAAAAUGUUGGGCAUAAAACGGAAGAUCUCUGGAGCAUGGUACCAAAGAGAAGUGAUAGAAGAGGGAACGGAGUGAUUGAUAUGGGCAAGAAAACAAACGAAACAAAAAAUUCAUAGUAUCCUUCUUACUUGUAAUAAUUGUAGGGGACCCUUUUUGAGAAGUUAAGAGCCUUGUCGUAGUUUUCUAUUCACAAAAAAAAAUGUUUUUAAAGAUAUCCAGGGCCAGCUCAACACUGUUAGAAGUUUUAGGGUAAAAUUUUUUUUUUCACCCUUUAAAAUUUAUAUACAGUUAAUGUUUAAAAUAUUUUUAAAAUUUAAUCAGUAAUAUUUUGUGUAUAUAUUUUGUAAUAAAAAUAAAACUAUAUACAUAUCAAAUAAUUUUGAGCCAUUUUCAAUUUUAUUUAUUAUAUUUAUAAUUUUUUUAUAUAUAAAAAUAUAGAUUUAUAAAAAAAUUGGACCCCUUAAUUAGUAUUGUACGGGGGGACACGGGAUUGGGCCCGGGGCGGUCGCACCGCUUGUCCCCUCCAAUGAGCCGGCCCUGAAGAUAUCAACUGAAAUGUCUUAUACUGAAGACUUGUUAAGAGUGAAUACGUAUAAACAAAUAGUAGUACUACCGUUCACACAUUAAACGAAAUAUUAAUUUAACUUGGGAACCCAGGUCUGUCAAUGGAUUCUUUUUCGCGUCAUCAGUUUGAUUAUAAAACAGUAUAGUAGUAUUAGUUUAGUACGUUGCUAGUUUAUAGCAUUAUUUUGACCAUUUAUGCCUUAGGAGACUGUGAUUUUCCCGCACGCCCACAAAGUUUCUAUUCCCCACAAAUCUUAGACUUUUGAUUACUUCACUUUUAAAUAGCUUUUUUUCUUGAACCAUUUUAUAUAGCAUUUUUUGUGGAACAACCAUUUUAUAUUAGCUAAAAACGAAUUCGAUCACUUUUAAUUAUAUUUUGAUCAAUCUUACUUCGCCUACUUCAUUUUCCAGAGGACGGAAACUCAUUUGAAUAAAGAAUAACAAUAUAUUCAAAACAUAAGGGAUGAAUAAACUUCUUAAGAAGUUAGAAAAAUUAAUUUUAGGAAAUUGCAGGCUUGAAAAAUAGAAACAACACAUGGACAUCAUCGUUUCUGAAGAAUGCUACUAUAAACAUGAUAUAUUUUGAAAUUUGAAGUCUAAAAUUGUGUCCCUAGAUUUGAGGAAUUCCAUUUACCAAGAUUCUCUUAGUUUGCUCAAUCUCAGUCUCUUCACCAAUUAGCGAAUAAUUAUGUUUAGCUAGUAAGCCUAGUCCAGCUAGGUUGAGUUAUGAAGUUAAAAAUGUUACAAUAAAUCCAGUUCAAAAAAAAAAAUGUUACAAUAAAUAACGUGGGAUAUUAUAUGAAACAUGUACAUUUUAACAGAAGGAAACCAAAACAAAGUGUUUUAAAAAAAAAAUAACAGAAGGAAAUCAAUGAAAAGAACUGUUGACAAAGAAAGGAAAGGUGAAAAUGAAACACAGUUUCGAGUUUUUAUUUGACCUGUUGACUUUUAUUUCACUUAUUAGGAGGACCAACGAAACUGCUAACUCAGAGAAGAGGACCACCUUCCGGGCAGAACGGUCACGUGUUCGGGCAGGUAGGUCUAUGAAUAUCGUAACGAUGACGUCAUCAAGUUCACUUAAAUAGUAGCUCUUUCGGCAUUGACGACGCCACGAUCCCUCGCAAAGGUCCAAUUGGGCCCCGGCCCACGAAGGUUAUUAUUUAUUUAUUUCUCUCUUCGCCUUAUAAUCACUCUUCACUUGAUUCCUUCUCCAUCAUAUAUCUCACCGUUUAUCAACACUCUCUCUCUCUCUCUCUCUCUCUCUCUCUUAAAUGGAACAGAGAGAAGAGCUCUCAUGGAUGAAAGAAGCGAAACAGGAGUUUCUCCAAGGCAGUAGCGUGAACAUAAACCUCAUGAUGCAUAGAGAUUAUUGGGUCCGUUGUGCUGAAACAUUAAGUUUCUUUUCGGAACUCCAAUUACAUUGAUAAUCUGGUGUUAUCCCAACUUGAGCUCAUUUUCAGUUUUUUUUUAAAAUUUUAUUAAAACUUCUUUCUCCCACUGAAUGAUUUUUAUUUUCUUGACCUUGUAAGGCCUUUUCUUGACCUUGUAAGACCCCAUCCCUUUCUAAGUGUCUCCUUCUUCUAUCAUUUUACAGAUUUUCUUUUAUCUUUUUUGGUGUAAGAUAUGUAUGUAUAUCUACCCCUAGUUUGUCUGAGUCAUCUUCUCCUACCUUGUCUAUCCCUCCUGAGCUAGUCCUUGCAUCUUUUUGUUAGUCCAUUGAUGUAUGGUUGAUAUAAAUUUCAAAAAAAGAACUUAGUUUUAACAUUUGUUUGUGUUGUUGUAAUAAAAGUUAAAGGAGGUGCAAAAAAGUCUCACUAUCAAGGGGACUGGCAAAAGGCAAUGAAUAAGGAAACGGGCAAAAAGAAUUACGCCUUUACUCCCUAUCUUUAAAGCUUUGGACAGGAAUUUACUUUUGUUUUAUGUGUUGUGUUUGUUUGGGUCUUCCUGACCCCAAAGCCAAACCAAAGAACACUCUUAUUAAUUAUUCCCUCAGAACCA